CUGAACUGUUCUGGAGAAAGACACAGAGGAAUGAAGUGGUUUCUAUGGCCACAUCACUUGGUGGCAGAACAAACUAAAUUAUAGCUCUACCCUGGGCAUGAUGAACUCCAAUACGGAGUAAAUGUGCCUUUGCUGCCUGCCAGCUGCCAGCUUCCACUUCCUCCCCACAAGACAAAUGCAUAUGAAGACGGUAUGCGCUCGUCUGGCCUCAUUUAGGUUUUUGUUAGUCAUCCCUGCUGUCGCUGGCCUGUGACCUUGGAAGGACUAUUUGAGCAGCUUGAAUGGAGUGAUCAGCAGAAGAAAGAAGAAAUUUGAACACACAAAGGACAAGUGCAGAGACAGAGGGAUGACCAUGUGAGGACACGGCAAAGAAGCCAACAUAACACAGAGACUGAGACUCUGAGGAAUGUGAUAUGGAGAUGGAAAAAUGGGGUAAGCCUUGGGCUGCAUGGUAGCAAUUUCUCUAGCAGAUCCUAGCAGAAGAAUCCAUCUCACCCUUCUGAGAUCUAUGAAUCCAACUCCCAUCAGGCUAUCUCUGAGGACCUCCAUUUGAGAUUAUUGCACUAGAAUCAAAUGUGUGCAACAAGUUAGCUGGUUAGAAAGCCUGGUUAUGGUUUUAAUGACUGCUAUGCGGAGGUGCUGCCUUGUUAGUCUUUAUAGCAACACCAUGAGGUGAGCUGAUUUAAUACUACA
RNAcentral lists this long non-coding RNA (693 nucleotides) under Homo sapiens (human). RNAcentral describes it as "HSALNT0362438". Lineage: Eukaryota; Metazoa; Chordata; Mammalia; Primates; Hominidae. The record is from RNAcentral.